GUGAAUGUAAUGUUUCUGAAAAGUGCCUGAUUGACAGGUCUGAGUAUUUGAGCCAGAACAGGUCCAGCACACACUGCCCUGUCAAUAUGCCUCAACACUGACCCUGAGGGAUCAAGGGGUGAGAGGUUAGUUCAGACUCCAGGCUUAUUCAAGUCUUUGACCCU
RNAcentral lists this small RNA (164 nucleotides) under Chelonoidis abingdonii (Abingdon island giant tortoise). RNAcentral describes it as "TUC338 (ENSCABG00000001209.1)". The record is from RNAcentral. Lineage: Eukaryota; Metazoa; Chordata; Testudines; Testudinidae.